Molecule: long non-coding RNA, 220 nt
Filed under: Ricinus communis (castor bean)
Lineage: Eukaryota; Viridiplantae; Streptophyta; Magnoliopsida; Malpighiales; Euphorbiaceae
Description: long non-coding RNA (RCOM_LNC003389)
Source: RNAcentral
GAACUUUAGGGUAUUCAAGACAUACUUUGAGAGCAUCCUUUGAGACGAUCAAGAAAAGAAAAACAGAGACAAAUUCUACUUCAACGUCAUCUAGAUAGUUGUUCUUGAGGAUUGGUUUGAAAACUCAAAGGAAAGAAGAAGGAGAUCGAGCUGUAGAGAUUAGAUCCAGAGUUAUUCAAGAGGGGAUAGCAUCUGCACCAUUUGAGAAAAGGGUGUUCAU